RNAcentral lists this long non-coding RNA (528 nucleotides) under Durio zibethinus. Its description in RNAcentral is "long non-coding RNA (DZIB_LNC002011)". The record is from RNAcentral. Lineage: Eukaryota; Viridiplantae; Streptophyta; Magnoliopsida; Malvales; Malvaceae.
UUAAAACAUUUUGACUAAUAAUUUUUCCUCUUAAGAUAAUGACAAAAUUCGAAUUCUCAGCCUAGAAAUGUUAUUUCCAACUCAACUGUAAUUCGUAUUUUCGUCCAACGAACGAAGACUUUCUUUUUUUUUUUAAUUCUUAAAGCUCUCCUUUUGCCACGUUGCCGUAAUCCGCCGGCCAAACCAAACGGAUCCCGUCCUCGUCAACCAUCGUCGUCGACGAAACGAAAGUCAAUUUUAAAGCUAAUCCAAAAUUUCCUCAACAACCAAACGGACCAUUCUCUCGGUAUCGAUUUUAUCUUAUCAUAAAUGCCCUUUAUGGGUGCGUCGUUUCCAUGCAUUGUUUCCUUCAUUUCCUUAAAGUUUCCCAUUCCUUUAUCACCCUGCGCCUAUUUCCAGAUUUGAUUCCCAUCGUCCUGGGCCCUCCUCUUUUUGAAUUCCCUCUAUUCUCGAUAGUUGACUCCUCCCUCACUCCAGCUGCCGUGAUUUUCGUUGAAUCCUUCCUGAAAUCUUGCCAUCUAUUCUUCU